GAGAAGAAAUCGAAUACAGAACAAGAUUGAUAUAUGAGAGAAGUUUAGAUCUCGAACAAGCAAUGAGAAUACCUCAGCUUCUGUUGUAUUUCUUCUUCAGUACUUCAAGUUUAUUCUUUACACAAUCUUUCAUCAUUUCACAGAUACAGAGGAAGAAGAAGAAGAAGCUCUUGAUGAAUCGAGAGAAGCUUUCAACCUUAGAAACUAACAAUAAACUCUCGCACACCUUCUCUUGUUCUAUCUUUUCCUUUUAUACUAGUCACUGGCUCAACUAUUUUCUGUUAUAGAAGUUACAACCGAAUAAUGUGAACAACACACGUGUAUUUCUUCUGACUGCUGCUUCUUUAAUUUGCUUGAUCUGCUUCUGUGUUUCAGGUUCUGCUUUCACGGAUUCGCCAGCUCCUGUAGUCAUGGAUCGCCAGCUCAUUCGUUCACUUGGAUCGCCAACCCACGACCUUCCUCUGGUUUAGCUUCCUCUGUUCCAGUUACUUUUUCAGGUUUGGCUUUUCUGCUGUUACUGACUUCUAUACACUUCUGAUCUUCUUUAACUUGUUUAAUUCUUCUAACAUCCCCCCUCAAAUUGGGAAUGGAGAGUGUAGAAAUUCCCAAUUUGGUUCGCAUAUAAGAAUGUGCUCUGCUUGUCAAUGGUUUUGUAAAAAUAUCAGCUAAUUGAUAAGAACUUGGAAUGUAGCUGACCUGUAGUGACCCUGAGGAGACUUUUUCCCGAACAAAGUGAAAAUCUAUUUCAAUAUGUUUGGUUCGAGCAUGUAAGAUAGGAUUCAGAGUAAGAGAUAUUGCUGACUUGUUAUCACAAUACAGAUGAAUAGGAGGCUUAAGAAAACAGCCUAUAUCACGUAAUACAAAACUGACCCAUGUAAGAUCAGCAGUGGCUGAUGCAAGAGCACGGUAUUCAGCUUCAGUAGAUGAUCUGCUCACGGUAGGUUGUUUCUUUGCUGCCCAGGAUAUAAGAUUGGAUCCAAUAUAUACACAGAAACCAGUUGUUGAUCUUCUGGUUUCGACACAACCAGCCCAAUCUGAAUCAGAAUAACCAUAGAGAUGCAUUGUACUGUGAGAGUGAAGAAAUAAGCCAAGCUUGAUGGUACCCUUUACAUACCGUAAGACUCUUUUUAACCUGUUGAAGUCUGCAAUUGUAGGUUGCUGCAUUCGUUGACAGAGUAUAUUUGUGGCAUAAGCAAUGUCUGGUCUGGUUAAGGUGAGGUAUUGCAAACCGCCAACUAAGCUUCUGUACUCAGUAGGAUUAUGCAAAGGUAGAGAAUCAUUGAUUAAAAUGGAUGGUUUGAGUGAGAGAGGAGUUGAAAGAGGUUUGGAAUCUUGCAUAUGAGCUCGGGUGAGAAGAUCUAGAGCAUAUUUGGUUUGGCAAAGGAAUAGAUAAUCUGGAUUUCGUGUAGCUUCAAUGCCAAGAAAAUAGUGUAGAGCACCUAGAUCCUUCAUAUGAAAAUGAAUGCUUAGUGAAGUAAUGAGACUAGAAAUCAUGUGAGAUGAGCUGCCAGUGAGAAUAAUAUCAUCUACAUACAGUAAGAGAAGGAUAGUGUCUGAUUCAGUAUGCAGGAUGAACAGAGAAGGAUCGGUGGAGCUACAGAAAAAGCCAUAUUCAAGCAGGAAGCUGCUGAAUUUAUCAAACCAAGCUCGAGGAGCUUGUCGAAGUCCAUAAAGAGAUCUUCGAAGGAGACAAACAUGGUGAGGCCUUUGUGUGUCUUUAAAGCCUGGAGGCUGUUCCAUAUACACUGUUUCACUUAAGUGUCCAUGUAAGAAAGCAUUUUUGACAUCUAAUUGAUGGAUUUUCCAUUGUUUCAUCAUAGCUACUGACAGAAUUAUUCGAAUUGUUGCAUGUUUCACUACAGGACUGAAGGUUUCUGUGAAAUCAAGACCUUCUUCUUGAUGAAAGCCUUUGGCUACAAGCCUAGCUUUAAGUCUAUCCAAGCUUCCAUCAGGUGCAAGUUUUGUCUUGAACACCCAUUUGCACCCGAUUACAUUCAUGUGAUUAUCUCGAGGAACUACUUCCCAGGUUUGAUUCUGAUAUAAUGCAUCCAUUUCUUCUUGCAUUGCUUGAUACCAUCCUUGGUGUGCUAAUGCAGACUUUAUUGAUUUUGGUUCAACAGGAAUCUUAUACUCAACCAGACAUGCAUAUUUGGGGUUUGCUUUAAUAAUUCCAGACCGUAGUCUAGUUUGCAUAGGAUGAGUUGAAGAUGUACCUGUCAUAUUUUCAGUGUCAACACUGUUUUGAGUUUGUCCUGUGUCGGCAGUGGGUAGUGAGACAUGCUCUUGAUUUGUAGAUAUUUGUUCCUCUAUGGUCGAAGAUGACUGAUGUGAUUCACUAUUACUAGAGAUAUUAUUAACAGCAUUCUGUAUUUCAAUACCAGGUAUAUUUUCAGAUGCAAUAUCUGGGUGAAGAUGACUGAUGUGAGAUCGACCUUCAUAAUUAUUUGAGGUGAGCUCAUCAUUUUGUAUUGCUGGAGCUAUUUGAUUGAUUCUGGUAUGCUGCAAGUAUCCCUUUGACAGAUUGUCUUGUGAUGGAGACUUCUUAGUAUAGUUGGAACUGGAGGAUAGGACUCCUUUUAUCCACUGUCUGUAUAGAUCAGAUCCCUGCUGAUAUUCAGUACUGAGUGUAUGAAUAAAGGGAAAGACAUUCUCAUCAAAUAGUACAUGUCUGCUGAUGUAAAUUCUUCCAUUUGUAGGUAAGAGGCACCUGUAUCCUUUAUGCUUCUCACUGUAGCCAAGAAAGAUACAGGUGAGUGAUCUUGGAUCAAAUUUAUGCUUUGUGUAAUGCCUGAGACAUGGAUAACAAGCUGAUCCAAAAACUCGAAGAUAGUAAUAGUCUGGUGUCUGAUUGUAGAGUUUGUAAUGAGGUGAAUGCAUGUGUAGUUUUGCUGUGGGCAGAAGAUUGAUAACAUAAACUGCUGUUUUGAAUGCAUCGACCCAAUAUUUCAGUGGUACUUUAGCAUGAUACAUCAUUGCUAGUCCUAAUUCAAUCACAUGUCUAUGUUUUCUCUCCGAGACACCAUUUUGCUCUGGUGUGUGAGGACAUGAGAUAAAUUGCUUAAUUCCAGACUUCUGUAGAUGAAGUUGGAAUUUAUUACUAGUGAACUCACCACCUCCAUCACUCUGCAAGAUUUUGAUCUUGUGAUUAAGCUGAUUUUCUACAAGUCUUUGAAACAUAACGAAUAUUUCAUAUACUUCUGAUUUCUGUCUCAUAGGAUAUAUCCAGCUAUACCUAGAAAAAUCAUCCACAAAAAUGACAUAGUAGGAGAAUUUCUGAACAGAUUGAAUUGGCGAAGGUCCCCAUACAUCACAAUGUAUUCUUUCUAAUAGAACAUUAGAAAUAUGGUCUGAGGAGUGGAAAGAUAAGGCUGAGCUUUUAGCAACUUGACAGCUGCUACAUAUAUUCUGAGUAUUGGAACUAAUUUGAAUGAGAUUUUGUUUCUGCAGGAUCUUCACUGUUUUAAGAUUGGUGUGAGCAAGCCUUUGAUGCCAGGUAUCUUCUGCUAUUUCCUGUUGAGUCUGUGUGAAGAAAACUUCUGCAGCUUUAGGUUCCACCUGGUAGAGCCCCUUGACUUUCCUUCCUAGCUUCACCAUUGUAUGACUGUGAUUGUCCUUCAUAUAUACCCCAUGUUUAUCAAAAAUAAAAGAACAGGGAUAGUCAUCUGUCAGUUUUGAUACAGAUAGAAGAUUCUUGGUGAUUGCAGGGACUACUAAUACAUCAUUCAGAGGUAAUUUGCUAUUUCCUGUAUUUAGUAUUCCAUUACCAAUGCAUGAGAUUGACAAAUGAGAUCCAUCUCCUAUCAUGACAGUGUCAUUACCACUAUAUGUAUUAUAGGUUUGAAUCAUACCAGGUUCUGAGGUAAUGUGUGAUGUAGCCCCUGUAUCUGGAUACCAUUCUGAGCCAUAGGGUUCUUCAAUGUGUACUGCUGCUAAUGCAGUUGGUAUCUCAUCUACCUGGUAUGAAUUGUCGAACCUAUACCAACAUCUGAGUGCUGUGUGACCUGAUUUCUUACAGAUCUGGCAUUGUAGAGGGACAUUAUUAGUAGGCUUUGUGUUCUGUGCUUGUCUAUCACCAUUUGAGCUUUGUGGUGGAUAAGAUCUAACAUUUUGAUACCUUUGUGCAGAAUUUGAAUAAGGUCGAAAUCCUUGUCCAUAACCAGACCAGUUAUCCUUAUUAACCUGACCUUGCUGAGUUGAAUACAUGUUAUUCAUUCUAUUGAAUUGAUUCCUUCCAGCUUCUGCAGAAUUAUUUCCAUAUUCUCUUCUAAUAAAGGGCUGACCUCUGCCAUAGUUAACUUCUCCUCGAAAACUUUCUCUUUGAUUUCUGGGAUUGAUUCUUUGCUGACUUGUUCCAGCUUUCCUUUGCCCAUAAUAGGCCAGGUUAGAGUUAUACUCAUUCAUGGAGUAUGUUUGUAAUCGAGUUUCAAACCUCUCAAGUUGUGAGAUUACUUCUUCAUACUCUGGCUGAGGCUUAAGACAAUACAUGGUUGUCCUGAAAGUUUCAUAUUCAGGACCUAGCCCUUCCAAUAUGCCAAACAUUCUUGUUAUAUUGUCAACAGGCUUUCCAAUUGCAUUCAAUUGAUCGCAAAUGGUUUUGAAUUCUCUGAGAUAUUCACUCAGUGAUCUGUUUCUUUUCUUGCAGGCUUGAAGUUUUCCUCUCAACUCAAACUCCUUUGCAACAGAUUUCUGUGUAAAUCUAUUUAUGAGAGCCUGCCAUACUUCAAGUGAGGUUUCUAAGCCGAUUAUUAGACUUAGAAUAUUUUCUGAUACUGCACCGCUUAUCCAGGAAGAUAUAAGCUGAUCGGUUUUUAUCCAAUCCAGGUAAUCAGGGUUCAUCAUUUCUCCAGUCUCAGUUUGUAUCAUUCGAUUUGGAGGUAAAGUUUCACCAUCAAUAAAACCGAUUAAAUCUUGGCUUUUCAGAAAUCUAUUAAACUGAGCUUGCCACAACAGAAAGUUUUCUUCAUUCAACUUGAUGGUAACAAAGUUCCCUAUAUUCACAUGAAUAGGGAAUGGAUACUUCUGAAGUCUAGUAGCCAUUCUUCUAUGUUCAAAGACUUUUGAAAUCCGCAGAUAAUCCAGUAGACUUUGAAGUAAACUAUCUGUGAGAUAUCAUGAUCUUUAUAACAUCAUGCAGUAAGAACACACCAGAUCUAUCAUACCCAGGAAAUCAUGCUCUGAUACCAUGAGAAGAAAUCGAAUACAGAACAAGAUUGAUAUAUGAGAGAAGUUUAGAUCUCGAACAAGCAAUGAGAAUACCUCAGCUUCUGUUGUAUUUCUUCUUCAGUACUUCAAGUUUAUUCUUUACACAAUCUUUCAUCAUUUCACAGAUACAGAGGAAGAAGAAGAAGAAGCUCUUGAUGAAUCGAGAGAAGCUUUCAACCUUAGAAACUAACAAUAAACUCUCGCACACCUUCUCUUGUUCUAUCUUUUCCUUUUAUACUAGUCACUGGCUCAACUAUUUUCUGUUAUAGAAGUUACAACCGAAUAAUGUGAACAACACACGUGUAUUUCUUCUGACUGCUGCUUCUUUAAUUUGCUUGAUCUGCUUCUGUGUUUCAGGUUCUGCUUUCACGGAUUCGCCAGCUCCUGUAGUCAUGGAUCGCCAGCUCAUUCGUUCACUUGGAUCGCCAACCCACGACCUUCCUCUGGUUUAGCUUCCUCUGUUCCAGUUACUUUUUCAGGUUUGGCUUUUCUGCUGUUACUGACUUCUAUACACUUCUGAUCUUCUUUAACUUGUUUAAUUCUUCUAACAU
RNAcentral lists this long non-coding RNA (5753 nucleotides) under Eucalyptus grandis. Its description in RNAcentral is "long non-coding RNA (EGRA_LNC002632)". Lineage: Eukaryota; Viridiplantae; Streptophyta; Magnoliopsida; Myrtales; Myrtaceae. The record is from RNAcentral.